RNAcentral lists this ribosomal RNA (274 nucleotides) under uncultured bacterium. RNAcentral's name for it is "partial 16S ribosomal RNA". It matches the Rfam family "Bacterial small subunit ribosomal RNA", at positions 523 to 796 of the family's 1533-position model. The record is from RNAcentral.
AUACGAAGGGGGCUAGCGUUGCUCGGAAUUACUGGGCGUAAAGGGCGCGUAGGCGGACAGUUUAGUCAGAGGUGAAAGCCCAGGGCUCAACCUUGGAAUUGCCUUUGAUACUGGCUGUCUUGAGUUCGGGAGAGGUGAGUGGAAUGCCGAGUGUAGAGGUGAAAUUCGUAGAUAUUCGGCGGAACACCAGUGGCGAAGGCGACUCACUGGCCCGGUACUGACGCUGAGGUGCGAAAGCGUGGGGAGCAAACAGGAUUAGAAACCCCGGUAGUCC